UCGGGAGUAGCUCAGUGGCAGAGCGUUCGACUGUUAAUCGAAUGGUCGUAGGUUCGACCCCUACCUCCCGAGCCA
This 75-nucleotide transfer RNA is filed under the name Deinococcus altitudinis. Its description in RNAcentral is "tRNA-Asn". It matches the Rfam family "tRNA". Rfam says of the family: Transfer RNA (tRNA) molecules are approximately 80 nucleotides in length. Their secondary structure includes four short double-helical elements and three loops (D, anti-codon, and T loops). Further hydrogen bonds mediate the characteristic L-shaped molecular structure. tRNAs have two regions of fundamental functional importance: the anti-codon, which is responsible for specific mRNA codon recognition, and the 3' end, to which the tRNAs corresponding amino acid is attached (by aminoacyl-tRNA synthetases). tRNAs cope with the degeneracy of the genetic code in two manners: having more than one tRNA (with a specific anti-codon) for a particular amino acid; and 'wobble' base-pairing, i.e. permitting non-standard base-pairing at the 3rd anti-codon position. The record is from RNAcentral. RNAcentral also lists the same sequence under 4 other names. Lineage: Bacteria; Thermotogati; Deinococcota; Deinococci; Deinococcales; Deinococcaceae.